AUGGAGUCACAGACAGUUCAGAACUUAGUUAACAACUGGAGUUUCAGUAAAUACUUUGUUCUUUUCUUAAUACAAACAUUGGUCUGCAACUUACUUAGCAACUGGCUCAGCAGCCCCAUGACCAAUCUUAUAAAUACAGAAUUCCUUGUCUCUCUGAAAGGGCUCAUCUCAUGGAACUUAUGGCAAAAACUAAUCAACAUACUACUUUCCCUUGAGUUUUUGAUUAUUGUAAUUUUAAUAUUGUAUUUCCUUAAAGAACUCAAUUCUCAGUCAAACCAACCAAUUGCUUCCCCUACCCCCUUAGUCUCAGAAAACUCUAAUUCUAAUCAAUCAACUCUAAGUUCAUACCCCACCCAGGCUUCCAACACAACACAAUCAACUUUAAGUACACACCCUACCUCUGAAUUUUCUGGCACAAUGGGAUUACAACAAACCCCUCCUUUUAAUGUGCCCAACCCUUCUAUGUCUCAGACUUACCCAAUUGAAAAUGGAGCAAGAUGCCUAGAAACAGGAGUGCCAAAUAAUUCAGAUAGCUUAUUUCAUUUAAGGGAAGUACCCACUUUUAAUAAAAAUGGAAACUUAAUAUCUGUAAGGCAUCAUACACCUUUUACCCCUGAGGAUUUAAAAAAAUUGAAGGAAGAUAUGCCAUCAUUUGAGGAUGAACCAAUAUUAAUUAUAAAAAAAUUAGAGAAAAUAUUCAGAACUUUUGACCCCACUUGGUUGGAUGUUGAGAAUAUAUUAGAUGAAUUAUUAACAAAGAGAGAGAAAAAUAAUAUCGUCUCUCUGGCUAAUAAAAAACAAGGUAGAAGAGGACAUUAUUGGCCAACUGAAGAUCCACAUUGGAACCCCAAUGUUGAAUUAGAUUACACAAAAUUAAACCAGGCCAUAGAAGCAUUAUUGACAGCCAUGAGAGCUAGCUCUGAUAGACCUGAAAAAUGGUCAAAAUUUGAAAAAACCCAACAAUAUAUUGAUGAAACACCCUCCCAGUUUAUGGACAACUUAUUGACAUAG
Molecule: long non-coding RNA, 1011 nt
Filed under: Monodelphis domestica (gray short-tailed opossum)
Lineage: Eukaryota; Metazoa; Chordata; Mammalia; Didelphimorphia; Didelphidae
Description: lncRNA (ENSMODG00000037763.1)
Source: RNAcentral